AUGAUGUUUCCAGCCGGUUUUUUCCGGUUUUGGGAACCUUCUAGAAGAUUCCUGAACCGUCUUUUUCUUUUUCAGUUUCUUUUUCGUUUUUCUUUUUCUAUUUAUCUUCUUUUUCUUUUUUCUUUUCUUUUUUCUGUUUCUUUUUUUCUGUUUCCUUUUUUCUGUUUUCUUUUCUUUUAUCUUUUUUUCCUUUUCAAGUUUAUUUCAACAAAAAUCCGAAUUCCAAAAAAUGUUCCUGUUUUUCAGAUUUUGUUCAUAAAUUCAAAAAAUGUUCCCAUUUUACAAAAUUUGUUCAUAAACUCAAAAAAUGUUUCGGGUUUCAAAAUUUUUGUUCCGAAUUUUCAGAAAAUGUUCUUGUUUUUUCAAAAAAUGUUCGAAUUACCUUUUUCCAUUUUUUAA
This 399-nucleotide ribosomal RNA is filed under the name Triticum aestivum (bread wheat). Its description in RNAcentral is "partial small subunit ribosomal RNA". Lineage: Eukaryota; Viridiplantae; Streptophyta; Magnoliopsida; Poales; Poaceae. The record is from RNAcentral.